GAUGAGAGGGAGCUUGCUCCCUGGAUUAGUGGCGAACGGGUGAGUAACACGUGAGUAACCUGCCCUUGACUCUGGGAUAAGCACUGGAAACGGUGUCUAAUACCGGAUACGAACUUCAGCCGCAUGGCUAGGAGUUGGAAAGAAUUUCGGUCAAGGAUGGACUCGCGGCCUAUCAGCUAGUUGGUGAGGUAAUGGCCCACCAAGGCGACGACGGGUAGCCGGCCUGAGAGGGUGACCGGCCACACUGGGACUGAGACACGGCCCAGACUCCUACGGGAGGCAGCAGUGGGGAAUAUUGCACAAUGGGCGCAAGCCUGAUGCAGCAACGCCGCGUGAGGGACGACGGCCUUCGGGUUGUAAACCUCUUUUAGUAGGGAAGAAGCGUAAAAGUGACGGUACCUGCAGAAAAAGCACCGGCUAACUACGUGCCAGCAGCCGCGGUAAUACGUAGGGUGCAAGCGUUAUCCGGAAUUAUUGGGCGUAAAGAGCUCGUAGGCGGUUUGUCGCGUCUGCUGUGAAAACUGGGGGCUCAACCCCCAGCCUGCAGUGGGUACGGGCAGACUAGAGUGCGGUAGGGGAGAUUGGAAUUCCUGGUGUAGCGGUGGAAUGCGCAGAUAUCAGGAGGAACACCAAUGGCGAAGGCAGAUCUCUGGGCCGUAACUGACGCUGAGGAGCGAAAGCAUGGGGAGCGAACAGGAUUAGAUACCCUGGUAGUCCAUGCCGUAAACGUUGGGAACUAGAUGUAG
This 746-nucleotide ribosomal RNA is filed under the name Frigoribacterium sp. Its description in RNAcentral is "bacterial SSU rRNA". It matches the Rfam family "Bacterial small subunit ribosomal RNA", at positions 68 to 825 of the family's 1533-position model. Lineage: Bacteria; Bacillati; Actinomycetota; Actinomycetes; Micrococcales; Microbacteriaceae. The record is from RNAcentral.